This 301-nucleotide ribosomal RNA is filed under the name uncultured bacterium. RNAcentral describes it as "partial 16S ribosomal RNA". It matches the Rfam family "Bacterial small subunit ribosomal RNA", at positions 509 to 807 of the family's 1533-position model. The record is from RNAcentral.
CAGUAGCCACGGUAAUACGAAGGGGGCUAGCGUUGCUCGGAAUUACUGGGCGUAAAGGGAGCGUAGGCGGACAUUUAAGUCAGGGGUGAAAUCCCGGGGCUCAACCUCGGAAUUGCCUUUGAUACUGGGUGUCUUGAGUAUGAGAGAGGUAUGUGGAACUCCGAGUGUAGAGGUGAAAUUCGUAGAUAUUCGGAAGAACACCAGUGGCGAAGGCGACAUACUGGCUCAUUACUGACGCUGAGGCUCGAAAGCGUGGGGAGCAAACAGGAUUAGAUACCCCAGUAGUCCCUGUCUCUUAUAC